Non-coding RNA from Ictidomys tridecemlineatus (thirteen-lined ground squirrel), 3663 nucleotides. NCBI's taxonomy places the organism in Eukaryota, Metazoa, Chordata, Mammalia, Rodentia, Sciuridae. The record is from RefSeq and is a predicted model, not a curated record.
CGGCGGCCGGCGCCACCCGAUUGGUGGGCCACGGUUGGCGAGGCGGAAAACCCGGGGCGGAUUUCUGGUCGCUUUUGUUCCCGCAGAUUUGCGCGGAGCCUUGUUUUUGGGGGAAAGCCAGGAGCUGGGCCUUCCUGCUUUAUUCCUGAGCAGUAUCCCGGGAAGGUGGCGGCCGUCUAGAAAGAGCUACUGGAGCGGGGCUCUGGAGACCCGCGUUCCAACUCUCUAUCUGCCCCUGCUGAGCUGUGUGACCUUGGGCAAGUCACUUGGCCUCUCUGAGCCCUGGGCGCCUCCCCGGAAAAAUGAGGGUAAUAAUAACCACCACAGGGGGCUUGUGAGAAGGUGGUGAGCUCACAGAGGGCCGGCACCUACAUUUUUUAGGCGGCCUGCCUGCCUGGGGGUGGGGUAGUGGGAGGAGUAAGCCUUCUCCAAAAACCUUGACGAGAGGAGACUAUCAGCCGCCGAUCAUCAGUCCAUCUUCUUUCAGCGGGCCACCUCCUCGGCCUGUGGAACAGAGAAAAUGCAAACCCAGGGGCCAAGGGUCAGGGAGAACCUGGCAGGAAGUACCAGAGGUGGCAGCUACUGCCCCGGAAUUUGCACUGGCCCGUACUGUGGUUGGGGGAAGGGGAGCCCGGGCGGCGUCCCACCUCUGGAUCCCACGACUUCAGGAUCCUCCACUUCUAGAAACUCAGGACGGAGCGAGGUGCGUUCCCCGGCGCCCUUCCCCCAGAAGAUGUCCUUUCGGUGUCCUGGCGAUCUAGGCCCGGCCCAUCUCCUUGGUGGCUGCCAGAUGUGCCGGCCUUGGGGUGCCCUCUGGGCAGAGCCCCCAGCCUGGUUCUGGGGUUCGCUCGGGGGUGUGUGGGUUCCUCAGGGCACCGUCGGGGGUGCUGAGAACGUCUAGGGAAGUUCUCUCUUGGGUCCUCAGGCGCACCUGUGUUGGGGAGGCCUGUUGGUGAAGCAGCACUCCUCUCCUGCCCCCACCCGCCAGGCAAGGUUCCCAGGAGCCACCCCAGGGCUCUCAUCACCCUGGGAGAAGAGGCGUGGGGUCAGAGCCAGGUGGCUUCCCAGCAGGCACAGGGGCCCUCCGGGGACUGUUGGGUGCCCCCCACAAGCAGUGACUGAGUUCCUCCUUGUUUUCUUGGGCCUUAUUCUUUUAUGGGAUUCCAGGGAAGUGGUCACAUUCCAAAAUCUAAGAUCUGAGUAAGCCAGGAACAACUUGUCCUCUUGACAAAGGAGGCCCCCCGAGUGGACGCAUCUUGGACCUUCUCAUUCCAGAGGCUUCUCAAGCCCAGCCCCCGGGGCACCGUGCACACCUGGAUUCCAGUCCCAGCUCUGGCCUGGCACUCGUUCAACCCCUCUGAGCCUCAGUUUGCUCAUCUGUGAAAGAGAGCCAGGAACCAGCGGCCAGCUGCAGCAGAAGUCAGAGUGCUGACCAGAGUCCCUGUGACCUGAGAGGGCAGAGGCCUGCCUGCAGGACCCCUGGUCCAAGUCCACCCAGCUCCCAACGCCUUCUUGUUAAUUCUUGAUGUGCCGUUUGAUAUUUAAUGUCAAACUGAGAUGAAUAGCAUCCCCCCGAAUUCUAUGUCCACCUGGAACCUGGGACCUGACCUUGUUUGGAAACAAGGUCUGUGCGAAUGUAAUUAAGGAUCAGGAAUACAGUGGAUUAGCAAAGGCUGGAGAUUCAAUGGGACUCUUCUUACAAGAGACAGAAAAGAGCCUGCAGAGAUUUAGGGGGAAGGCCACUUGAAGACAGAGGCAGAGAUUGGAGCCAAGGGGUCGAUGCCCAGGCCACCGUGCACCCCAAGAGGCAGGGAGGGUCUUGCAGAACCUUCAAGGGGAACUCAGCCUGCCCACACCUUGGCUUUGGACUCCUGGCCUCCAGAGCUGUGUGGAAGGGUGAAUCCAUUAUUUUAAGCUCCCCCCCCCACUUCUUUGCGAUCUUUCUUUAGAGCACCCACAGGAAACCAAUUCAGUGUCAUAUCCCCCUGAACUUCAGUUGGGCUCCACUUAAUUCAGCUCAUAAUGGAUGUUAAAUCCUUACCCUCCGAGAUCAGACCUCUCUGUUUCAGGUUUGGGGGUCUUGGAAGUUUUAGGUGGACACAAUAUCUUCACCUUAUUUUUAUGUGAUGCUAAGGAUCGAACCCAGCGCCCGGCGCAUGCCAGGUGAUGACCAGGAGGGACCAUAAAUCAAUCAGCCCACUGUUCCAAAGUGCAGAGUCCUUCCCUGACUCCAACACCUUGCUUCUCCUCUAACUCAGAGUCCAGCCCAGGAGAAAACCUGGGGAGGCCCAGUGGGGACUGGGACAAGAGAGGCAGAGUUGAGAUCAGUGCCCUGUGAACAUGGUGUCCAUCAUGCUCCCUGGAGGACACGGGGAAGCUCCUGGCACAGAUUGCUACUGAAUUUUCCUGGGGUGCAUCCUCAGGGUGUGACCUCUGGGGAUCCCUCUUUCCCAUGGCCUACACCCUGCUCUCCUGUGACGAUUCUCGUUCCCUGCCUGGGCUCCUGGCCCCUCGUGGGGUCACCGCCGUGACAUACAACAGGUCCUGUUGCCUCCAUCCUUAUUCCCAUUUUAUGGGUGUGGAGCGGUCAAGGAAUUUGCUCAGGCCAUGCUGUCCGCUCAUGUUGGAACUGGAGCCUGACCUAGGUCAAUGAUCCACAGACUCUGUCCCUCCCGAAGGAAAUAACAAACAGGACACAUGGUUCAUUUGCUAUUUCUGCAAACUGGAGACUCCAAAGGUGUCUUAUUGGUGCCAGUUUUUCUAGCCAUGAUUACUGACAAAGUCCACCUGCAGUCAUAAUUGGGCAAUUGUCCCCAAGUGAUGCCAAGCCCUGGUUUCCACCAGUGACAGUUUUAUCCACAGCAGUCUGGGGUGUCUAGUGUUGGGCUGGAUGCCAUUGGUCUCCAGUGGCAUCAUCUGGGCUCUUUAGAAUCGAGAAUCCUAAGCUGAUCCCAGAGAAGGAGGGGCACUCCCUGCAGUGUGAGCCUUGGAAUCUGCAUUUGUGCUAGCAACCUGGUGGUCCCGACACACACGUGUGACAGCAGCUCUUGGGGCAUGGCUCUGCUGCUUCCAGCCCCCUAGGCUGCUUUGAUUAACAACAGCAAUCAUGAUAGUAAUUAGGGUUUCCUGUACACAUGGAGGCCUGAUUACAGAUGGGGAGUGGAGGCUGAGCAAGGGUAAACCACCAACCCGGGGCCACCAGCCGGCGGCUCUGGCUCUCACCACGGCAUGCGGCAGACCCAGCUGUGGUGGGUGCUUGUGGCUUCUCCUAUGUCCCUGCCUCUUGCACCACAGCAAAGGUGUCCUCUGACAGUCAGCAGGCGAUCCACCGUGCUCCGCGUCGAGUGGCCCGUUUCACUUUCCUUUUUAUCAUAGAAAAUUCCAAACAUGCCCCAACGGUAAGGAGCAGCAUGGUGACCCCUCACCACGGGGCAGCUUCAGCAGGGACAAGAUUGGUCUUAGAGCCCAGACCAUGCAAGGCAGCCCAGUUGGCCCAAGCCCUGCCCUGACCGUCCUCCUACGUCCACCGGGCGCGCUGGGGCCGCAGGUGUGAGCUCCAGCAGAGCCAGAGGACAGUCCCCUCCACCUGUGGUCCUGCUCCUACUUGUAUCACACAUUUUCUUUCUGAAGUAUUUUCAAGUAAAUAAGGGGUUUAAAAACCUA